UACGGAGGGGGCUAGCGUUGUUCGGAAUUACUGGGCGUAAAGGGCGCGCAGGCGGCUGCUCAAGUCAGGCGUGAAAGGCCCGGGCACAACCCGGGAAUUGCGCUUGAGACUGAGCUGGCUUGAGUGCGGGAGAGGAUGGUGGAAUUCCCAGUGUAGAGGUGAAAUUCGUAGAUAUUGGGAAGAACACCGGUGGCGAAGGCGGCCAUCUGGACCGUAACUGACGCUGAGGCGCGAAAGCGCGGGGACGAAUCAGG
This 254-nucleotide ribosomal RNA is filed under the name uncultured bacterium. RNAcentral's name for it is "partial 16S ribosomal RNA". It matches the Rfam family "Bacterial small subunit ribosomal RNA", at positions 524 to 776 of the family's 1533-position model. The record is from RNAcentral.